RNAcentral lists this ribosomal RNA (253 nucleotides) under uncultured organism. Its description in RNAcentral is "partial 16S ribosomal RNA". It matches the Rfam family "Bacterial small subunit ribosomal RNA", at positions 524 to 776 of the family's 1533-position model. The record is from RNAcentral. RNAcentral also lists the same sequence under 1 other name.
UACGUAGGGGGCGAGCGUUGUCCGGAAUUACUGGGCGUAAAGGGUGCGUAGGCGGUUGCUUAAGUUGGAUGUGAAAUACCCGGGCUUAACUUGGGGGGUGCAUUCAAAACUGGGCGACUAGAGUUCAGGAGAGGGAAGCGGAAUUCCUAGUGUAGCGGUGAAAUGCGUAGAUAUUAGGAGGAACACCAGUGGCGAAGGCGGCUUUCUGGACUGACACUGACGCUGAGGCACGAAAGCGUGGGGAGCAAACAGG